GGGCUCACUUCAGCAGCACAUAUACUAAAAUUGGAAUGAUACAGAGAACACUAGCGUGGCCCCUGUGCAAGGAUGAUGUGCAAAUUUGUGAAAUGUUUCAUAUAUUU
Molecule: small nuclear RNA, 107 nt
Organism: Nomascus leucogenys (northern white-cheeked gibbon)
Lineage: Eukaryota; Metazoa; Chordata; Mammalia; Primates; Hylobatidae
Source: Ensembl